AUGGUAGGAUAGAGGCCUACCAUGGUGGUAACGGGUAACGGGGUGUUAGGGCACGACACCGGAGAGGGAGCCUGAGAAACGGCUACCACAUCCAAGGAAGGCAGCAGGCGCGCAAAUUACCCAAUCCCGACACGGGGAGGUAGUGACAAUAAAUAACAAUACAGGGUUCUUUAGGAUUCUGUAAUUGGAAUGAGUACAAUUUAAAUCUCUUAACGAGGAACAAUUGGAGGGCAAGUCUGGUGCCAGCAGCCGCGGUAAUUCCAGCUCCAAUAGCGUAUAUUAAAGUUGUUGCAGUUAAAAAGCUCGUAGUUGAAUUUCGGGAUCAAUACGUCGGUCGUGCUUCGGUACGUACUGGCGUCAUUGAUUUCUCCCUUCUGACGAACCAUGAUGUCAUUAACUUGGUGUCUUGGGAAAUCAGGACUGUUACUUUGAAAAAAUUAGAGUGUUUAAAGCAGGCUCACACUUGAAUACAUUAGCAUGGAAUAAUGAAAUAGGACGUUCGAUCCUAUUUUGUUGGUUUUAGGAUCAACGUAAUGAUUAAUAGGGAUAGUUGGGGGCAUUAGCAUUCAAUUGUCAGAGGUGAAAUUCUUGGAUUUAUUGAAGACUAACUACUGCGAAAGCAUUUGCCAAGGAUGUUUUCAUUAAUCAAGAACGAAAGUUAGGGGAUCGAAGACGAUCAGAUACCGUCGUAGUCUUAACCAUAAACUAUGCCGACUAGGGAUCGGAUGAUGUUAAUUUUUUAAUGACUCAUUCGGCGCCUUACGGGAAACCAAAGUGUUUGGG
Molecule: ribosomal RNA, 783 nt
Filed under: uncultured Glomus
Lineage: Eukaryota; Fungi; Glomeromycota; Glomeromycetes; Glomerales; Glomeraceae
Description: SSU rRNA
Rfam family: Eukaryotic small subunit ribosomal RNA
Source: RNAcentral